CCAAUGGCAAGCAUACAAGUAUAGGAUGCGGAACAAUAAUAAGAUGCGAGGGGAAUCACUACACUGUAUUGUCUUGCGAGCAUAUUUUUAAUCCUAUUGAGAAGAUUUAUGCUCGAUCAUUUGAUGGUGGGAAAUACAAAGUUGGAGUGCUAUUUAUGGACAAGCAGUCUGACAUAUCAACAGUGAGGAUAGUAUCUGAAGUUCCACUAGAAGUAGCAACAUUGGGUGAUUCAACUAAGUUGUUGCCCGGUACUAUGGUAGGUGCUUUGGGAUGUCCUCUGGGAUUACCAAAUACCUUCACAGCUGGAGUAGUGAGUUCUGUUGGGCGUAAAAGCUUUGAGCUG
Long non-coding RNA from Coffea eugenioides, 344 nucleotides. RefSeq lists it as uncharacterized. The record is from RefSeq and is a predicted model, not a curated record. NCBI's taxonomy places the organism in Eukaryota, Viridiplantae, Streptophyta, Magnoliopsida, Gentianales, Rubiaceae. The transcript has 3 exons.